RNA transcript from Coffea eugenioides, 2023 nucleotides. It is a transcript of the gene named dnaJ protein homolog, with no coding region annotated. Lineage: Eukaryota; Viridiplantae; Streptophyta; Magnoliopsida; Gentianales; Rubiaceae. The transcript is spliced from 9 exons. The record is from RefSeq and is a predicted model, not a curated record.
UCUUCGCCUCAAAAUAAAGCCACAAAUCUCACCUUCAACGAACCCUCUCGGCUCUCUCUCUCCCUCGCUCUCGAUCGUCGUGGCUCGCUAGGCCGCUAAUUUUACUCCGUCCGCCAGCUCCCAAGUCAACACUCGACCGUCAAUCCCUCUAGGGUUUCCGUCCGAGUAGAUCGAAGAACAAGAUGUUUGGGAGGGCGCCGAAAAGGAGCGAUAACACAAAGUACUAUGAGGUAUUGGGGGUUUCCAAGAACGCCUCCCAAGAUGAUCUCAAGAAGGCUUAUCGUAAAGCUGCCAUCAAGAAUCACCCUGAUAAGGGAGGAGAUCCAGAAAAGUUUAAAGAGCUAGCUCAAGCCUACGAGGUACUUAGUGACCCAGAGAAGCGUGAGAUCUAUGAUCAGUAUGGUGAGGACGCAUUGAAGGAAGGAAUGGGUGGUGGAGGUGGUGUCCAUGAUCCAUUUGACAUCUUCCAGUCAUUCUUUGGUGGUAGCCCUUUUGGUGGAGGUGGAAGCAGCAGAGGCAGAAGGCAAAGAAGGGGAGAGGAUGUCAUUCAUCCUCUUAAAGUUUCUUUGGAGGACCUGUACAAUGGAACCUCUAAGAAGUUGUCCCUCUCACGAAACGUGUUGUGCCCAAAGUGCAAGGGCAAAGGUUCUAAAUCAGGUGCUUCAAUGAAAUGUUCGGGCUGUCAGGGGUCUGGGAUGAAAGUUUCUAUUAGACAGCUUGGUCCGUCGAUGAUACAGCAGAUGCAGCAUCCUUGUAAUGAGUGUAAAGGUACUGGUGAAACUAUUAACGACAAGGAUCGCUGCCCACAGUGCAAGGGUGAGAAGGUUGUGCAGGAAAAGAAGGUUUUGGAAGUUAUCGUAGAGAAGGGUAUGCAAAAUGGGCAAAAAAUUACAUUCCCUGGUGAAGCUGAUGAAGCACCGGACACAGUUACUGGGGAUAUUGUCUUUGUCCUGCAACAGAAAGAGCAUCCAAAAUUCAAGCGCAAGCAUGAUGACCUGUUCUAUGUGCACACUCUCUCCCUGACUGAGGCUCUUUGCGGCUUCCAAUUUAUUUUGACUCACCUGGAUGGCAGGCAACUUCUUAUUAAAUCCCAGCCCGGAGAAGUGGUCAAGCCUGAUCAAUUCAAGGCAAUAAAUGAUGAGGGGAUGGUGGUGUACCAGAGGCCAUUUAUGAGAGGUAAAUUGUAUAUUCAGUUUAAUGUGGAAUUCCCGGACUAUCUGGACCCUGAGCAGUGCAAGUCUCUGGAGGCUGUGUUGCCACCAAAGACCACAAAACAAAUUACUGACAUGGAGUUGGAUGAGUGUGAGGAGACCACACUACAUGACGUGAACAUUGAGGAUGAGAUGCGUAGGAAACAACAAGCGCAAGAAGCAUACGAGGAAGAUGAAGAUAUGCAUGGUGGUGCUCAGAGAGUGCAGUGUGCCCAGCAGUGAGUUGGGAGGAAAGUGGUAGAAAAAGGAGCCAAAUCCAGGAGAUGAGCGAGGAAUCAGUAUUUUAUUAAAGCUUUAAUAGUGGACUAUUGUGAUUCAAAACGCGAGUUUGAUAUGCGGUUUACAUGCUUUUGUUUUAUUCUAUCGCAGCAGCGGGUGUUAGGAAUGUGGAUAUUUAACAUCGUGCAUUGUGUGGUAGUAAAGCCAGGAGUAUGAACGGUACUCUGCUUUAAAUCCGAUGAACAAGAACGGUUGCAGCGAGGCAUUGGGUGUGGUGAAUAAAGGUAGCAGUUUGAGGUUUGGGCCCCACAAAUUCAGGUGCAAUUAACCUCACUCACAGCCAUGUUUAUAUUCUGAAGGUACACUGCAGGCAUGGGGGCUGUGAAAUCGCGUCUGAUGUGCUGCCGAACUUGCGGUCCAGUGGCUUCACUUUCUAGUCUCAGGGUCAUCCAUCCUUGUGACAACAUGGGCGUUUUUUUCUUUUUUUUGGGCCGCGAUUUAUCAUUGUUUAUUUGCUCGCCUAUACUCUUUCCUCUUUUUUAUGGUGGUUUAAAUGAAAAAUCAAAAUUGAAAAGCAUAUUCAUGGUGGUUAA